UUGUGGUUAAAAAGCUCGUAGUUGGAUCUCAACAGCCUUGAAGCGGUUAACUUUGUAGUUUUACUGCUUUAUAGGCUGUGCUUUUGCUGGAGGUUUAGGGGUGCUCUUGAUCGAGUGUCUCUGGAUGCCAGCAGGUUUACUUUGAAAAAAUUAGAGUGCUCAAAGCAGGCUAAAAUGCCUGAAUAUUCGUGCAUGGAAUAAUAGAAUAGGAUGUCGAUCCUAUUUUGUUGGUUUUCGGGACUCGACAUAAUGAUAAAUAGGGACAGUCGGGGGCAUUUGUAUUCAAACGACAGAGGUGAAAUUCUUGGACCGUUUGAAGACAAACUACUGCGAAAGCAUUUGCCAAGAAUGUUUUCAUUAAUCAAGAACGAAAGUUAGAGGUUCGAAGGCGAUUAGAUACCGCCCUAGUUCUAACCAUAAACGAUGCCAGCUAGCGAUCUGCCUGCG
This 447-nucleotide ribosomal RNA is filed under the name uncultured marine eukaryote. Its description in RNAcentral is "SSU rRNA". It matches the Rfam family "Eukaryotic small subunit ribosomal RNA", at positions 613 to 1062 of the family's 1831-position model. The record is from RNAcentral.